This 10244-nucleotide long non-coding RNA is filed under the name Populus tremula. RNAcentral's name for it is "long non-coding RNA (PTRE_LNC002503)". Lineage: Eukaryota; Viridiplantae; Streptophyta; Magnoliopsida; Malpighiales; Salicaceae. The record is from RNAcentral.
UCGUCACAACACGGCGUGGUGGCUCCUCCUCCUACCAUAGCAACUCCUACCGUGAAAGAGUGAAGCAAAAGAAGAAUCAUUUGCAUCUCAAAGUCCAGAUCAAAGGUAUCUCUCUAAAACGAAUUAUAGGAAUUAGGAAAAAGAAGAAUCACUUAUGGUUGACCGUACGUAAUUAUAAAGAUCCUAGAAUUAGACUAGAAAAAUAAAAGGAAAAAGAGUACUGUACGUACAACAAAGCAAGCAGAGAAGAAAGAAAUUUGUGUUGAGAAAAAGAACGAUCGAGAGUGACUCGGCAACCUCCACUAGACACUCAAUUGUUAUCUCUCUGUCAAAAAAACAAAAUUUGAUUCCACGUUUCAUUGACUGCCUAAAAGAAAUCAAAAUCAUAUAACUUGCGCGCACAAGAUUUGUAACUUUCCUCUCUGUCUCGACCGUUUCUUGAUUUUUCUAAAAAAAAACCACUUCAGCAAAAUGUACACAUUCAAUUUCGAAGUCUUGAUUUCAUAUCGAUCUCACGUGUAUGCACAUAUAAUCUAAGAAACAGAGAUAGCUCGUUAUCAAUUGCAUAAGAAGUAACACAUCAAAUUAAACUACAAACAUUUAAGACUAAAAAAACAAAAAAACAAAAAAAGGAAAGAAAGAAGAGGAAAUAAUUACUUAAAGGCGGUAUAACAUGUGACCAUCUUCUUCUAUAUAUAUAUAUAUAUAUAUAUAUGGCAACUCCUUACCAGCUGAUACUUAUAUAUAUAUAUAUAAUCUCCCUCAUCUUCAGAUGCUUACAUGGCAACGCGUUGCCAGCUGAUACUUAACGACGUUGUCACCAACCAUAAUUCCACUAGUUCUGCUACCAAACUGAAUAUAAGCAGGACACCUAACAUGCAAAUUGUAUUUCGCAGAGAUAAAGGUUCCGACUUUGAAUCGAACUCGACCAUCAAUCUUGAUCAUCAGCAUCACAACUCCAGCACCUUGGUCUUGACUUAAUGCAGCUGAAUUGUACGGAGAUACCGGCACGGAGUUGCCGUAAAUAAAAGGGGACCAAACAUUAGUCUCUUUGUGUCCUUGGUAAGAAGUAGGUAUGGAAGUUCGUAGAGUUAUUUGUUGGUCACGGUAUGUGCCAUAAAUAUCGAGUCUAUCAUAGUAGAUUCCGACUCUAUCAUCCGGGUUGCGAGAGGAUACGGUGACUUGGAAGUUGGAAGUGAGGAAAUUUGGAUAUGAAACGUUAAAGGCGUAAACCGUAGCAUCUUGGAGGAUGAAUUUUGGUUUUGAAGGACGGAGGAUGGCCCAAACUAUGAGGAUUACGAUGAGGGCAAUGAGGAGGAAGGUUAGGAUUACGGCGAAUAACAGGCGGACGAAUCUUCGGCGUUUGUGGCCGUGGUUGCCGCAGUCUUUCUUGGGUGUCAUGUUGGAGGAGUUGGUGGUGGAGAAGUGGAGAAAAGAGUAGCUUUGUGAGGAAGAUUCUCCGAGGGAAGUGUGGAGUUAUUAAGAGUUCGAGGGAGUGAGUGAGAGAGAGGAUUUUGGGGUUCUUUGCUUAAUGCGGGGGUUGUAUUGACGGUGCCGUGAGAUAAACGCGUUGUGUUAUGGGUGUGUAUUAAGGUCUUGUAAUAAGAUGUGAAAUGGUGAUUAGUGCUUUUAUUUUCUUCAGUUUGUGUGGUAGUGGUAGGACUUGGGAAGGUUCUAGCUUAAAGUUUAAUGUGAUUAUUGGGAUUUAAUUGUUAAAUUGAAAUAUAAGCAAAGAGAAUACUUGUAUUAGCUCCGUAUUUGUAAUUAACGUUGUGGCCAAUUUAUUUGAGGCUUUUUUAGCACAUAAUGAUGAGUAAUUUAAUAACUUUUACUUUUGAAAAUUCUAUGUAUACAUGAGCCUAUGAGAAAAACUUAUGUAUAUGAUAAUGUUUUUUUUCUUUCCCUUUUUCUUUUGAGUGUAUGUCAUUGUAUUAGAAAAUUUCAUAUUUGCUAUAUUUUGGCUAACAAAAAAUUGUUAUUCUUAAACAUAUUACAAAUUAUAAAUUACCAAAAAAAAACUCUAAAAUUUGUUUUGUAUUAUUUUUUAUUAGGUUAUCACGAUCUUAACAAAACAUUUUAAUAUUGGAUUGGUUCUUGAUUUGAUAUAUAUAAAAAAUGUUGCUGGUUGUUGGUGAAUAAUUAAAAAUACAGAGAUCAAAACUAAAAAUAAGGUGAAAUGAUAGUUCUUUAUUUAAAGAAAAAAAUUCGGUCCUUUAUUUAUUUUAAUCAGCCAAUUAAAUAUUUUAUUUUCAAUUUUAUCAUUUUAUAUUGAAUUUGAUUGGUAAUUCAGAUUGAUGAUUUGUUAAUUUCAUGUUGUUUUCUAUCAAUUUAUCGUGGUUUCAAGAAAUAUAUUAUCAAUGGGUUGGUUCUUGAUUUUGCAAAAAAAAAAAAAUAACUUAAUUUUGUUGUUUGCAAAAAAUAAAAGAUAAGGGACCAAAAUUAAAAGUUUGGUAAAAUAGAAGGCCUUUCUUUUUUAAAAAAGUGUCAAUGACUUUUUUUUAAAUAUGCUUAUGUUUUUGUCCAUUUUUUUAUUCUUUAGUUAGGAAAUUAUAGUAUUUGGUCUAAGAUCCAAUUGGAUCCAUAAGUCGAAUUAUAAGUUUGAUAAUUUAACUUAAAUUGAUUAAAGUUUUUUUUAUAACAAUGUUUGAAAAAAAAGGGUUUCAUCUUGAGUUUUUUUUAAAGUCAAAUCAGGUUUUUACUCGUCAUCUAAUUUAUUUCAGAUCCUUUUCCACAUAGUUUAAUUAAAAAUACAAGCUAGACAAAGAGUUGGGUAAAGAAAUUUCAAUAUUGUUCUAUAUAAAUGGAUCUAGUGACAUCGCUAAAGAACUCCCUGUUGCAAUACAUGAGCGUUGUAUUUUUUUUAUGGCUUUUAUGUAGAUUUUAUUUUAAUUAAAGUUUGUUUUUAAAAUAAUUAAAAAUAUAGUUUUAAAAACAAAUAUUUCAGUGAAUAAAUAAUUCAAACCUGCUAUGUGAGGAAAAUAUUUGCCUUUUUCUAUCAUAUUUAAUAUUAGCAUCAAAUUUUAAUUUUAUAAUUAAUAGUUUUCUUGUCAUUAGAAACACAAUAAUAACAUUUAUAUAUUUUUUUUUCUUUGAUUUUUUUAAAAAACUUCAAUUUUAACUCAUAUUGGAACACAGGUUAGGCAUGUAGUAACAUGGUAUUGUUUGUUUUGGUGUUUAAAAUUAUAUUUGAAAGUAUUUUAAAAAUAUAUUCAACUUGAAAACAUAUUAAUUGAUGUGUUUAUAGUAUUUUAAAAUGAUUUUAAUAUAUUAAUAUUAAAAAUAAAAAAUAAAUCUGAAAAGAAUAUUUUCAAAUAAAAUUUAUUUUUUAAAAAAUAUCAUAUACAGUAGUACCAAACAAAGAGUGAAAUAAUUGCCCUGGCCAGGACUAAAAAUUAAUUGUAUUAAAUAAGUAGGCAGGGCUGGGUAAUUACGUACUGUCUUCCUUGAGACAGGCAUCAAUCCCUGUCAAGCGGAUGCCGAAGAAAAGUCAUAGUACACACCAGCGCUCCCCUUUCAUUAAAUAUCUUUUCUACUUUUCAAGCUUAUAUUUAAGGGCUAGAGUAAUUAAUUCUUACUAAUUAGCCAUGUAUAUAUAUUUAUUUACGCAAUUAAAUGUGUCCUCGGAGGUCAUAUUCAUGGGAACAAUUAAGCAGAUUGGUGCCUUUUCAUUUAUGUUUGAAUAUAAAUAACGUUUAUAUAUAUAUAUAUAUCCUAAGAUCAUUUUAUGGCCAGCGUUUUCCUAAAGUUGGGGCCAAUAAUGCAAGGACCUCAAGCCCUUUGGCUGUGCUUUCACAAAGGGAAGCUGCUCUUUGUGCUAAUCGAACUUUAGAAAGACAAAAAGGCAGCAAAAGAACCCGUCAAGCAAGUAAAACUUGAACAGAUGGACUUCCAUUAAUUCGAGAGUUCUUAGAAUAAUGAUUUCAUGUAUUAUUUGUGACACAUGUACCCUUGUAUAAUACUUGGCUACUUGUUUUAAGGUCUCAAUUUGAUCAUGUGCAUGCUUUUAUCAACGUUUGGACUAUAGAUUAAGCAAGUUUCUCAUGAUUAAUCAAGGUUAGAUAUAUAGAAAUGAUAACAUUUGGACUCUAAAUUAUGCUUGAGAUUUCAUACAAACUAAUGAAAAUACCAACAUGUUAAAAGCUCAAAUACCAUCUAAUUUAUUAAAAAUAAUAAAUUUAACAUAGAUGGAUUAUCAUAUUGUGUUGAAAUUCUGAUAUAGAAUAUUUUGGUAAAGAAAAAAACAUAUCCUUCUUAUGAUAAUAUGGACAUAAAUUUUAAUCUAUCUAUUUAAUUCUAGACGUCAUGUUCCUUAUAAUGUCUGGUUUUUGUAACUAUCCGCUAUCAAUAAAGCUUCUAAAUUAAAACUAUAUAUUAUUGUUUUAGGUUGUUGUGUGGUUUUUUAAGGAUAUUUAUGAAUUUAACAAGGUAUUUAGAUAUUUUUUUCAGGUGUUAUAAGUAAAGAAUAAGUUAAUAAAAAGAUUUUUAGAAAAAAAAUAUAAAAUUGUUUUUUAUUUAUAAUAAUAACUAAAAUUAAGAGAAAACUAAAAGAUGCAUCAAUCAAUAUUUUUUUAAAAAAUAUUAUUGUACAUCCCAAUUGCAUUUAAAAGAAAAAUAGGGCCAUCUUUCUAAUUGCAUUAGGCCUCUUUCUUUUAUCUUUUUAUAAUUUGUUUUAUUUUAAUUUAAAAUAAUCUUAUAAUUUAUAUUUAAAGUAAUUCAUUUUCUCUUUGGGUUUUUUAUUUUUUGUAUUUAUUUAUUUUUAAAUAAUGACUGAUUUUUAAUUAUUUUAUAGAUAUUUGAAGAAAUUAUUCUAAUUUAUCUAUAUUUUUUUAUAAAAUUAAAAUUUAUUUUUAAAUAAUGCUUCAUAAUCAGAACUUCUUCCACGCAUUCAUCCAGUUUCCUGCACCCUACUUCUGGGCAAUUACCUACCUUCGGAAAUAUAUCUGUGUUAUCGGAUAGAUUAUUAUUUUUUUCAUAAAAAGUCAUCUCUACAAGUGUGCUUAUAUUUGUGAUUGAUGUGAUUUGUCUUUAAUUUAUUUUUUUUAAAAGGGAAAAGAAAGAAGGUCGAAGAUUCCUUUUCACUACUCGUUAAGGUUUCUGUUUUUAAACCGGAGAAAGAAACCUGAUAUCCUUUUCUCUCUCUCUUUUUUUUUUGGUAAAAAAGUAUCGAGCUUGUGUUAUGUAAAAUUUAAUUCGUCCACCAAAAAAGAAAAAGAAAGAAAUGUACAAUUACUAGCUUGCUGACGGGCCAUGCAGUUCCUCUGUUUUGUCAAUUUCUUCGAAUUAUCAGCACUGCUAACAAGCAUGAUCAUCCCUUGUGUAAAUCUCACGGCUCGUAUCAUUUCUCAUAUUGCUAUCAUUAAUUAUUAGAUACAAACAACUUUUUGACGUUGGAAAGAACAAGAAACCGAUCGAUUUAGAGUGCCGUCACCGUAAUAAUGUAAGGGCAAGAUAGAGGAAGACCCUUUACUAGCAUCCGUUCGGUAGAGACUUAACUUCUCUUUCUCGAACCCUUCCCUGUGCCCAUGGUAGGCCACUCCAUUGAAGAAUAUCGUUUCUUGAUCUCCUCCCAUCCAUUCGUUACUUUGCCGUAUUUCUCUUCGGCCGAUUUGGCUGGUUAAGAUUCAUGGCUAUUCUACUAUUCUGAAGGCCCUGAUAUGAUUCUACCUGAUCGAAUUUUGCUAUUUUUUCAAUGGCCUCGCAUGAUAAAUUUUACUAUACGCCAGAUAAUAUACCUAAUUAUCUAUAUUUUGUUUUUUUAUUAUUAAAAAGGAAAGCAUAAGAGUUGCUUGGUAACAUGUAAAGGGUAAGUGAUUUGGGUGGUUUUCUCCUCUGCCACGACCAACGAAGUUGAUGUAAAACAAUGCCCAAAACAAACAGUGUACCCAUCUGCACUUCACACAUAUCAGGUACAUGUAGAGUACGAGCUCGGAGUCACAAGUAAACCCACUUUCUCAAAUUAAUGCAACAGUUUCGUCACAACACGGCGUGGUGGCUCCUCCUACCAUAGCAACUCCUACCGUGAAAGAGUGAAGCAAAAGAAGAAUCAUUUGCAUCUCAAAGUCCAGAUCAAAGGUAUCUCUCUAAAACGAAUUAUAGGAAUUAGGAAAAAGAUGAUAGAAGAAUCACUUAUGGUUGACCGUACGUAAUUAUAAAGAUCCUAGAAUUAGACUAGAAAAAAGAGAGGAAAAAAGAGUAUACGGACAACAAAGCAAGCAGAGCAAGAAUGAAAUUUGUGUUGAGAAAAAGAACGAUCGAGAGUGACUCGGCAACCUCCACUAGACACUCAAUUGUUAUCUCUCUGUCAAAAAAACAAAUUUUGAUUCCACGUUUCAUUGACUGCCUAAAAGAAAUCAAAAUCAUAUAACUUGCGCGCACAAGAUUUGUAACUUUCCUCUCUGUCUCGACCGUUUCAUGAUUUUUUCAAAAAAAAAACCACUUCAGCAAAAUGUACACUUUCAAUUUCGAAGUCUUGAUUUCAUAUCGAUCUCACGUGUAUGCACAUAUAAUCUAAGAAACAGAGAUAGCUCGUUAUCAAUUGCAUAAGAAGUAACACAUCAAAUUAAACUACAAACAUUGAAGACUAAAAAAACAAAAAAAAAGAAAAGAAAGAAAGAAGAAGAAAUAAUUACUUAAAGGCGGUAUAACAUGUGACCAUCUUCUUCUAUAUAUAUAUAUAUAUAUAUGGCAACUCCUUACCAGCUGAUACCUUAUAUAUAUAUAUAUAUAAUCUCCCUCAUCUUCAGAUGCUUACAUGACAACGCGUUGCCAGCUGAUACUUAACGACGUUGUCACCAACCAUAAUUCCACUAGUUCUGCUACCAAACUGAAUAUAAGCAGGACACCUAACAUGCAAAUUGUAUUUCGCAGAGAUAAAGGUUCCGACUUUGAAUCGAACUCGACCAUCAAUCUUGAUCAUCAGCAUCACAACUCCAGCACCUUGGUCUUGACUUAAUGCAGCUGAAUUGUACGGAGAUACCGGCACGGAGUUGCCGUAAAUAAAAGGAGACCAAACAUUAGUCUCUUCGUGUCCUUGGUAAGAAGUAGGUAUGGAAGUUCGUAGAGUUAUUUGUUGGUCACGGUAUGUGCCAUAAAUAUCGAGUCUAUCAUAGUAGAUUCCGACUCUAUCAUCCGGGUUGCGAGAGGAUACGGUGACUUGGAAGUUGGAAGUGAUGAAAUUUGGAUAUGAAACGUUAAAGGCGUAAACCGUAGCAUCUUGGAGGAUGAAUUUUGGUUUUGAAGGACGGAGGAUGGCCCAAACUAUGAGGAUUACGAUGAGGGCAAUGAGGAGGAAGGUUAGGAUUACGGCGAAUAACAGGCGGACGAGUCUUGGGCGUGUGUGGCCGUGGUUGCCGCUGUCUUUCUUGGAUGUCAUGUUGGAGGAGUUGGCGGUGGAGAAGUGGAGAGAAAGAGAGUAGCUUUGUGAGGAAGAUUCUCCGAGGGAAGUGUGGAGUUAUUAAGAGUUCGAGGGAGUGAGUGAGAGAGAGGAUUUUGGGGUUCUUUGCUUAAUGCGGGGGUUGUAUUGACGGUGCCGUGAGAUAAACGCGUUGUGUUAUGGGUGUGUAUUAAGGUCUUGUAAUAAGAUGUGAAAUGGUGAUUAGUGCUUUUAUUUUCUUCAGUUUGUGCGGUAGUGGUAGGACUUGGGAGGGUUCUAGCUUAAAGUUUUAUGUGAUUAAUGGGAUUUAAUUGUUAAAUUGGAGGAUACUUGUAUUAGGUCCCUUUUUGUAAUUAACGUUGUGACCAAUUUAUUUGAGGCUUUUUUAGAACAUAAUGAUGAGUAAUUUAAUAACUUUUACUUUUGAAAAUUCUAUGUAUACAUGAGCCUAUGAGAAAAACUUAUGUAUAAGAUAAUGUUUUUUUUUUUUUUUUUUAUCGUUUUCUUUUGAGUGUAUGUCAUUGUAUUAGAAAAGUUCAUAUUUGCUAUUUUUUGGCUAACAAAAAUUUGUUAUUCUUAAACAUAUUAAAAUUAUAAAUUACAAAAAAAAAAAACCACUUCAGCAAAAUAUACACUUUCAAUUUCGAAGUCUUGAUUUCAUAUCGAUCUCACGUGUAUGCACAUAUAAUCCAAGAAACAGAAAUAGCCCGUCAUCAAUUGCAUAAGAAGUAACACAUCAAAUUAAACUACAAACAUUGAAGACUAAAAAAACAAAAACAAAAGAAAGAAAGAAAGAAGAAGAAAUAAUUACUUAAAGGAGGUAUAACAUGUGACCAUCUUCUUCUAUAUAUAUAUAUAUAUAUAUAAUCUUCCUCAUCUUCAGAGGCUUACAUGGCAACUCGUUGCCAGCUGAUACUUGACGACGUUGUCACCAACCAUAAUUCCACUAGUUCUGCUACCAAACUGAAUGUAAGCAGGACACCUGACAUGCAAAUUGUAUUUCGCAGACAUAAAGGUUCCGACUUUGAAUCGAACUCGACCAUCAAUCUUGAUCAUCAGCAUCACAACUCCAGCACCUUGGUCUUGACUUAAUGCAGCUGAAUUGUACGGAGAUACCGGCACGGAGUUGCCGCAAAUAAAAGGGGACCAAACAUUAGUCUCUUUGUGUCCUUGGUAAGCAGAAGGUAUGGAAGUUCGUAGAGUUAUUUGUUGGUCACGGUAUGUGCCAUAAAUAUCGAGUCUAUCAUAGUAGAUUCCGACUCUAUCAUCCGGGUUGCGAGAGGAUACGGUGACUUGGAAGUUGGAAGUGAUGAAAUUUGGAUAUGAAACGUUAAAGGCGUAAACCGUAGCAUCUUGGAGGAUGAAUUUUGGUUUUGAAGGACGGAGGAUGGCCCAAACUAAGAGGAUUACGAUGAGGACAAUGAGGAGGAAGGUUAGGAUUCCGGCGAAUAACAGGCGGACGAGUCUUGGGCGUGUGUGGAUGUGGUGGCCGUGGUUGCCGCAGUCUUUGGAUGUCAUGUUGGAGGAGUUGGUGGUGGAGAAGUGGAGAAGUGGAGAGAAAGAGAGUAGCUUUGUGAGGAAGAUUCUCCGAGGGAAGUGUGGAGUUCUUAAGAGUUCGAGGGAGUGAGUGAGAGAGAGGAUUUUGGGGUUCGUUGCUUAAUGUGGGGUUUGUAUGGACGGUGCCAUGAGAUAAACGUGUUGUGUUAUGGUUGUGUAUUGACCUGUUUGUUUGCUAGAAAAUAAUUUUUUUUUUAAAGUGAAUUUUAGGAAAAAUGAAUUUCAAGAAAAUUUUUUGAUGUUUGAUAGUGUAUUACAAAAUAAGUUGGAAAAUACUUUUCAGUGUUUGGUUAUGUCAUGGAAAAUGAGCUAGAAAGUAACUUAUUAAUAUUUUAUUUUUCUCAAGUUUAUUAAAAUAAUGAGGAACAAAUCUUACAAAUUAAAAAGUUGAAUGAGAAUGAAAUUGAAAAAAAAAUAUAAUUUCAUAAAUUAUCUCAAAUAAAAUAAAUAAUAAUCAAAAUAAUAGAGAUCAAAUCUAAAAAAUAAAAAAAAAAGAUGAAUAAAUUAAAAUAAUAAUAAUCGACAUUUCAUAAAUUAUUUCAAAUAAAAUAAGUAAUAAUCAAAAGAAUGAGGACCAAAUUUGAUAGAUAAAAAAAUUCAAUAAAAAAAUGAUAAUGAAAAAGCAAAUAGCAAUUAUAAAAAUAAGGACCAAAGUUAAUAUAAAAAUAAAAUUUUAAGAGAUGAAAUUGAAAAAUAAUAUUCAAAACAAAAUAUAUAUAGCAAUCAAAAGUUUGAGGAUCAAAUUUGAUAUAAUCAGUAAAUAAUGACAUUUCUAAAUUUUUCACAACUUCCGGAAAGUGUUUUCCUUUCAAAUUUUUUAGGAAAACACUUUCCUGAAAACCAAGCCAAAUUUUUCUUUUACUGGAAAGUGUUUUCCAUUAAUCAACUUUCCUAAUGACAAACAAACAUAAGAAAGUUUGGAAAGUAAUUUCCCGGAAACCAUUUUCCGGAAAAUAAACACAGCUAAAGAAAAAACACUUUCCUGAAAAUCACGCAAAAUGUUUUUUAACUGAAAUUGACUGGAAAGUAUUUUUCGUUGACCGGAAAGUGUUUUUCGUUGACCAACUUUUCUAAUGACAAACAAACACAUGAAAGUUUAGAAAAUGGUUUUCCAAAAACUACUUUUCGGGAAACAAAUAUGGCCUUAAAGUCUUGUAAUAAGAUGUGAAAUGGUGAUUAGUGCUUUUAUUUUCUUCAGUAUGUGUGGUAGUGGUAGGACUUGGGAAGGCUCUAGCUUAAAGUUUAAUGUGAUUAAUGGGAUUUAAUUGUUAAAUUGGAGAAUACUUGUAUUAGGUCCCUUUUUGUAAUUAACGUU